This 340-nucleotide ribosomal RNA is filed under the name uncultured bacterium. RNAcentral's name for it is "bacterial SSU rRNA". It matches the Rfam family "Bacterial small subunit ribosomal RNA", at positions 29 to 351 of the family's 1533-position model. The record is from RNAcentral.
AACGAACGCUGGCGGCGUGCUUCAUACAUGCAAGUCGAACGAGAAAGCCUGGCUUCGGUUGGGUUAGUAAAGUGGCGAACGGGUGCGUAACACGUGAGAAACAUGCCCCUAUGCCCGGGAUAAGCUUGCGAAAGCGGGUCUAAUACCGGAUUCGGUCAUCGGAUGGCAUCUUCUGAUGAUCAAAGGUGGUUGAGUCUAUGCCACCGCAGAGGGAUUGUCUCGCGGUCCAUUAGCUUGAUGGUGGGGUAACGGCCCACCAUGGCUCCGAUGGAUAGCCGACCUGAGAGGGUGUACGGCCACACUGGGACUGAGAUACGGCCCAGACUCCUACGGGAGGCUG